Molecule: long non-coding RNA, 2859 nt
Filed under: Coffea arabica (coffee)
Lineage: Eukaryota; Viridiplantae; Streptophyta; Magnoliopsida; Gentianales; Rubiaceae
Description: long non-coding RNA (CARA_LNC001536)
Source: RNAcentral
AACAGAAGUCCACAUCCCCGCUAAUUGAACAGCUGCCCUGCGCAAAUCUCCAAGCAAAAUUUCUUGGAACUGAUCUCUGUGAUGGCUUAAUCAGAUUCCCCCCAGACAGGACCUUCAGACGACUCUUUCACUUAACCAUACCAACUUAUACAGGAUUCCGUGCCCAAAAAUCGUCAACUGCAAGAUUAGCAUCUCCAUGGCUCACGGCAUCCUCAGGUUCUGGCAUGUAGAGGCUUGACAUAGAUACCUGAACAUUCAAAGACCAAUUAAAUAGUAUAGCUUCAAACAGAAAUGAACCAGAAAGGAGAAAAGCUGUCCAAUUUAAAAACAUAACCAGGACUCUUUUGGCUCGAUUAUUUCCCCCCUUCCCAGCCCAUAACAGGUAUCAAGUCUUUCAUGCACUAGGAGAGGGAAAAGACAUACCUUUGUGUCAAGAAGCAUCUCCCCAGCAUUAUCAUUAGAUAGGCAUGCACCAUGAGCCUUCAACCAUUCUGCACAUUCUUCAACUCCAUCUCUUUCCUUCUCAUCACUUGCUUCAGUUGUGGGCGAGACAUUACCGAAGCCCAGAACCUGAGAAAUGUAUGCGACGGGAAUAGUAGGACGAUAUGAACGAGACAUACACUUUACUGCUGCAUAUCGCAUCUUUUCAACAUAAAGAUCUGCAGUUCACCAAGUAUAAUGAACUCAUCGUGUUAGGUAAUAAGAAUGGACAAUAAGGAGAAGUGAAAUAAGCAUGAUGACUUGAAUUCUACCCACCCAUGAGAAGAGUACUAAGGUUGGGAGCUGUUUUGUAUAGCCUGAAAAACAGAACAUAAUUCCCUGAAGUCACUGCUGAACGAACUGCAAGAGCGUGUUUCACAGCAUCAUUUUUCCUAGCAUCAGCUGAUAAUCUGUGCAAUCAAUGUUACGUCAAAAACAUUCAAAACUCAUCUUGCAAAAUAAAAAUAAAACUAGUGAUAAACUUCUCUAGGCACACUAAUUAUGAACACUUCAGUACAAUUGUAUCCACUGCAUGAACAUGAUCUAAUCUGGAAGCAUACAGUCUAACAUGAUUUACAGUUGAUAAAAGCUCAUGCACAAUGCGGAUUCAAUCCAGUUUCUACUGUCAAAAUGAAUAUUUGACAUGACUAUACAGAAUAGCUCCAGCAGGAUGCAAGUACAUAGCGAAAACGAUAUUGUUUAGAAGUAUGUCGUACUUUGAAAUUAUGAAAGAUUUACAAUUCCAAAGUCUAAAAUAAGCAACAUCACCGACAGCUAAAUUGACCUAAGUUAACAGAAACCAAUAAGCCUUUCAGGCAAUGCUACUAGAGGGAGACACAGUAAAAUAAGAGCCAGCAAGAUUCAGCAGAUAGCUCCUCUCUGAGUAAGAAUGUAAAAAAGGGAGGGCUGAGCACUGUUGGAAGUAGGUGGUGUGUCUCUUGAUAAAGAUCCUAUGGGUACAGUUAAUCUGAGAACAGUAAUCGGAAAAAAGACAACUAAUCUGUGAACGACUAAUUCCAGAUUUAGCUAACAACCUUGACAUCACAGACAGGAGAUCUCUGUUAUUGUUAGAGUGCAGGAUUACACAGAGUAAAUUGUAUGCAGCAAACUCCAAAUGGCAUCCACUGAUUCCUUCAGCAUAAAGCGUUUUCAACUGGGAUUGGCACUGCAUAACCAGAUCAAGAAUGUCAAUCCAUGCAACAAAUAGUCACUCCAACAAAAUGAAGAAACAUGAAGUUUAAUCCAUGCUACACGAAGAAUGCUGCUUGGGCAGAAAUAGAAAUUAAACACAACUAAAAGUGCAUCUUAAACUCCACCACCGUGUCGUCUAUGCAUUAUAAGAGAGCUACAAAUGCAGACAAUAAAACCCCUUUUUUUUGGAACAAAAAAAUAAAACUAUCUUUCAAAAAACUUAAUUUAAAAAAAUUGGAUUGACAGAUAAUAACAAGUACGCAUAAUAAAUUAGUACAUAUAAGCCAUAGUACCACACUUAUUUUUCCACAUUAGGUUUCUCAUGUUGAUCAAGCAAGGCAUCUCCAAUUCUUGUUAUCCCUUAUUUAUCAGAAACAUAGCUUGUAACCCAUAAAUGUGAUUAUGCUGUGCAUGUAAAUUAGCAUCACAACAGACACAUCACUAAUUCGUAGCAGAAUAGGUUACACAACAAAUUGAAUGCCUACUGGUCUUAGGUAAUAGCCACCAUACAUUAAACAACAUACCAAAAUCUCCAGAUGCAUAAAAGAAUAACAGAAUUAGACUAGAAUAAACUAUUUAUGAAGCAUUCCAAACUAGAAGUUCUCAAGCUGGGUUAAUUCCAAAUUAAAAACAGACCUGAUUAAACUCUGGCAGAUCCCCAACUUCAAUUGCUAAACGAGCAUGAGUUUCAUAAACCUGAAAGAGGGGGUGAUGCCAUGAAUAUUGUAAAGAAAGUAGUCAUACUCAACAUCUCUACUCACCCAAAAUGACCGACUAACAAGAUUCCCAGCCAAGUUUGACAUUGAUAUGUUUGUAAGAAAUCCUGAGACACAUUCUUAACAAAAAAUUAUAUACCUUUACAGUUAACUCAUUGCGUAUAUGCUGUACAGUCAAGUCUUGCCGAAUGGAUUUUAACUGAUCGCACUUAUAAAGGUAAUUCUUUUCAGAAUUUUGCACCAUAAGCAGGGCUUUUUCCAAGACCUCUUCUGGUCUUACCUGCAAGAUUUUAUUAUUCAAGACAAGCAGCUCAAGUUAGUCUAAGCCAACAAUUCAAUCGUAAACGACCACAGGCACAGACAAAACAUUUACCGUGACAGGAUCAGGAGCCGAAGUAAGGCGCAGAUAACGUUUCUCAAUUUCCUGAGAGGUCCCUUUGACAGUAAGAGCAUCCCAGUCAAUAUCUUCAAC